RNAcentral lists this unclassified non-coding RNA (153 nucleotides) under soil metagenome. RNAcentral describes it as "partial internal transcribed spacer 1". The record is from RNAcentral.
GUGAUUAAAUCGAGCGUGUCUUCAUUGACCGCUCACCCUUCUCACCAUCCACAUACACCUGUGCACUGUUUAGCCUGAGCCGGUUUUCCGGUCCAGGUUAUCAAUUCAUACAAACUCUAGUCUUAUGAAUGUAAACGUUUUAAUAACAUAAUA